RNAcentral lists this ribosomal RNA (2495 nucleotides) under Triticum aestivum (bread wheat). RNAcentral's name for it is "partial small subunit ribosomal RNA". The record is from RNAcentral. Lineage: Eukaryota; Viridiplantae; Streptophyta; Magnoliopsida; Poales; Poaceae.
GCGCGGCGGUGGGCGAGUUAGGGAUAGCCCUAGUGGGAGUAGGUUAGGUGUUUGGUCGCGAGAGAGGUUUUAGGAGGAGCUUAAGGUGUAGCUCGGUUGGUAUCGGUGGAAGGAGGAGGGGAGCUAGGUAGGUUAGGGCGUAGGUGGAGGAACGAAGAGCAGACGGAGCUGGCCUCGUUCCGAGGGGACGAGUACCGCGGGCGGUUCGGGGAGCGGGUCGGAGACGAAGGUACGAGGUCUAACUUGUGGUUCCGGGUCAAGUCCGGCGGGGGCGAGGAGGAGUGGAGCAGGCGCAGCGGCUCUAGCGCGGUCCAAGGGGCGCGUCGGCGGCACGGAGAAGAGCAGACGUGGUUCAGGGGCGCGGUGGCCCGUAGACGGAGGGGACGGAGGACCUGUUCAGACUGGAGGGCGUCGAGGAAGCAGGACAGGCGGGGCGCGGGCUCCGGGACGGAAGAGGAGCAGGUGUGGCUGGCUUCGGUCGUCGACGAGCUCCAGGGCUCGUCCUCGCGAACCGGAGCAGGGGAGCGCGGUAGCGUCCGCUGCUGGAGGAAGCCGGAACAGACGGGGUAGGGGCAGCUGCCGGGCAACAGAUGUCCGGUAGGGGCAGGAGACGAAGCGGUACCGGCGGGGACUCGAGGCAGGCGCGGCAGCAACGGGCCUAGGCCGCGGCCGGUCGGCCUAGGCGGGGUAGAGGUGUAGCAGCCGGAAGGGACGCCGACGACGGCACGGCAACUGGGGCAGGAGCGGCGCGGGGACCAAGGAGACGAAGCUUCUACUUGCUCCGCGCGGGUCGGAGCAACUGGCGCAGGGACGAACAGACCUUGCGGUCGUCGGGUUGACGGGUCGCGGAGGGGUUCCAGGUCGGACGCGGGGCGCCGGACGGUCGGAGGAGGUGGCUUGGCCCGGUUCGGGUACCCAACGGAAGCCAAAGCAAGGCUUCAACACUCCUAAGCAAGCUGAUGCAAGCAGACAGAAGAAGUACCUGAGCAAGAAGAAGGAACGCCCUAAAGUUCGUUCUACUGGCGAUGGGACCUAGAGUGAUGAUAGUAACGAUACGAUCAACGAAGUAAGAUAACGAUACAACACGAUGGAUAGUGGACAAAUAGUUCGGUAGGGUUUAACUGUACUUGGAGAUUAGGAAACUGUGGGAAGGAUCGUUUGGCAACGAACCGAUACAAUGGCGAAACGAGUCGGGGAGAAUAUCGCAACGAUCAACGUCCACUUCAACUUCUAACGGGGUACCACCUGUCCUAAUACAACCCUAUAGUGUUAUAGAGAAUAAAUUAAUUACGUAGAUAUAUAAACCAUUUCCCACCUUCUGAGCCGGAAUACGGACCACAAAACAAGGUGAGAACGGUGGGAUCAAAGGCAGUAUGGCCACAAUACAAGAACCUAAAACGCAAAGAAUGCGCCAACCCACUAAAUACCCUGGGGGAACUGUCAAGCGAAACUUAUUUUGAGGAGGUCGUUCCGGGUUGGAACCAGAAUAGUAAACGGAGUGGUGGUGGAUAUGUAAAGGGAACCCAGCCGGUUGGGCUCCCAGUAGAAAUAAAAUCGGGGGGGGGGGGCCCGGUCACGAACAGAUUCACAACCAGGCUUGGCUCAUCUGACGUCCCGGGGGAGCCCCUUUGAACUCCAGACCAAAAUGAGCAUCCUACAGAGUAGGCCACAACGGGACUCUUGCUCUAUACACGUCGAGGAUAGUCCUAACAGCCGCGUAGCCCGCCGAAACGACCAGAACAAAAUGGUAACAGCUUUACAGAACAUUUGGCCCUAAGGCUCAGACUAGCCCAGAAGGACCCUCUUCCAUAUAGGAAGCAACUAGCGCUCUCGAAUAGUACCCGAUUCAACCCUGUGGGGACGUCCCAUAUUAGAAAGUUUUCAGCACGGACGCCAAUAUCCGUCUACUCUUAAACAAUUACAGGCCAACAUCUAUUGAACUGUGGUCUAGGCUUAAUUUUGCGUAGUUGGCGCACACAUCGGCACUACCAGAGAAAAGCCGCCUCGGGCCCUUCACUUGUACCAGAAACCCAAUACAAACUGCAUUCAUCCUCAAGUCCUAGUGAAGAACUAGUAACGAUCGAAGUGCUAGCAAGGCGAACGAGAGAAGAGCGAGAAUAAACGCAUCCAAUCGGUGGUAUGAACGAAUCAGCAACGACGUUGGAGUGGUGAAAUGGGUAAGGAAAGGGUAAUUCUAAACGAUCAUAACUAUGGGUACCAUUACCCUAACGACUCAGGAGCACCGAGUGUCUAAUGAUGUUGUUGUCAACGUCCAUGUCCAAUACACUACUAGUACUGCGCUCUCGCUACGAACGAACGAACUCGAGAAGAAGACGAAGAAGAAGCUAGUCCCUAUCCAAGGUCUAGCCGUCGGACCCGAUCGUCCCACCUACAGCAAACUCAAAGACAAACACAAAGUAGGCAUCAGCCUACUACGAGAAUACACAACACUACAACAUAAACUCACCGUAACAUACGGAAUACAUAAAUAGGGG